CCUACGGGAGGCAGCAGUGAGGAAUAUUGGUCAAUGGCCGGGAGGCUGAACCAGCCAAGUCGCGUGAGGGAAGACGGCCCUACGGGUUGUAAACCUCUUUUGUCAGGGAGCAAGGUGCAGGUCGGGACCUGCUGUGAGAGUAACUGACGAAAAAGCAUCGGCUAACUCCGUGCCAGCAGCCGCGGUAAUACGGAGGAUGCGAGCGUUAUCCGGAUUUAUUGGGUUUAAAGGGUGCGCAGGCGGAGGCACAAGUCAGCGGUAAAAUCGCGGGGCUCAACCCCGCUCCGCCGUUGAAACUGUGGCCCUUGAGUGCGCGAAGGGUAGGCGGAAUGCGUGGUGUAGCGGUGAAAUGCAUAGAUAUCACGCAGAACUCCGAUCGCGAAGGCAGCCUACCGGCGCGCAACUGACGCUCAUGCACGAAAGCGUGGGUAUCGAACAGGAUUAGAUACCCUUGUAGUC
RNAcentral lists this ribosomal RNA (459 nucleotides) under uncultured bacterium. RNAcentral describes it as "partial 16S ribosomal RNA". It matches the Rfam family "Bacterial small subunit ribosomal RNA", at positions 338 to 795 of the family's 1533-position model. The record is from RNAcentral.